CCUACGGGAGGCAGCAGUGAGGAAUAUUGGUCAAUGGACGAGAGUCUGAACCAGCCAAGUCGCGUGAAGGAUGACUGCCCUAUGGGUUGUAAACUUCUUUUAUAUGGGAAUAAAACGUUCCACGUGUGGGAUUUUGUAUGUACCCUAUGAAUAAGGAUCGGCUACUCCGUGCCAGCAGCCGCGGUAAUACGGGGGAUGCGAGCGUUAUCCGGAUUUAUUGGGUUUAAAGGGAGCGUAGGUGGAUUGUUAAGUCAGUUGUGAAAGUUUGCGGCUCAACCGUAAAAUUGCAGUUGAAACUGGCAGUCUUGAGUACAGUAGAGGUAGGCGGAAUUCGUGGUGUAGCGGUGAAAUGCUUAGAUAUCACGAAGAACUCCGAUUGCGAAGGCAGUUCACUGGACUGCAACUGACACUGAGGCUCGAAAGUGUGGGUAUCAAACAGGAUUAGAUACCCCUGUAGUC
This 459-nucleotide ribosomal RNA is filed under the name uncultured bacterium. RNAcentral describes it as "partial 16S ribosomal RNA". It matches the Rfam family "Bacterial small subunit ribosomal RNA", at positions 338 to 795 of the family's 1533-position model. The record is from RNAcentral.